Molecule: long non-coding RNA, 1100 nt
Organism: Glycine soja
Lineage: Eukaryota; Viridiplantae; Streptophyta; Magnoliopsida; Fabales; Fabaceae
Exons: 2
Source: RefSeq, a predicted model, not a curated record
UAGGGCUAAUAGAAGAAAGGAUAGUAAUAUUAUUAGCAGCGAUCGAGUAAUGAAGAGCAAAACUCAAUAUAAAAUCACCAACAAAUAGAAAUAAAAAAAAAUCGAGAGAGAGAUAAAAAAAAGAAGAAAAAAAAAAGGAAGAGAGAGAGGCAAAGGCGAAGCUUGGAAGAUGGAAACCCAGUGAGUGAGGUUCGAGAUUUGUGAGCAAUUCGUGAACUUUGCGAAGGUGCAACUAAGAUUGGAUGAAGACACGGCCAAUGAACUGAGAGUAUGUAUCCAAGGCUAUUCCUCGUGGAACAGAGGGAUAUUGGGGUGCUGGGUCAUAUUGGGAGAUGGGUCAACUAUGUAUGAUGAUCUGGUUGGUUCAGAUUGUUGGGGGGUUGUUGUGGGGUUUAAUAUGGGAAGGUUUUAGAUGUAUUGCUGCAGGCUUGCAGGUCUUAGUUAUUACUGAGAUAGUGGUUUUGUGAUGACUCCUAUCUUGGCAUGAUAACUAAAGUCCUUGCUCUAAUAUAUGAGUUAUUUUUUGCCGUUUCAAAAAAAAAAGGUUUGGUGUUUCUCGGAGGAUUCAGGUAACUGGUAGAAGAUAUGACGGAACCCUCAGGGCAGCAUUAUAAAGAUGAUAUUACAAGAGCCUAGGUUUGGGAAAAAAUCUGUAAAUAGCCAUUUCCACCUAAUCUGUCAUUUUUUGUUGAGUGUCGAUGCCUCAGUUGGUGGUUAUAAACUUUCCGUUGGAAGGAUACAGAUUCGGCCAUCUGCAAAUUUAUCAAAAUACAGACAAUGAUUCCAAAAGGCUAAAGUUGAAGCGGGUGCUGGGUACUAUGUUUUUCCCAAAGACUGAAAUGUGCUAUUUUGCUCUGUAGUUGGUUCUUGUUGACUUGUUAUGAAUAUUUAUAUUGAUUAUCUGAAUAAGGUGAUGUGAUUCUCUGUAUAAAGUGGAACAAGCACACUGUUCAGACUGCAGAUUCAGCUUAUUCUAAGUCCAUUCUAUAGGUUAAGUGUGUACUUAGUUACUUAGACAAUGCAUGUUGCUGUCAGAUUCGGGAAAAUUAAGAAUGUACAGGCUGAAGAGGGGUAAGGUAGAAUACAUAAUGCUUUUGACU